GACGAACGCUGGCGGCGUGGAUUAGGCAUGCAAGUCGAACGGUAUCAUCCUUUCGGGGGUGAGAGAGUGGCGAACUGGUGAGUAACACGUAGGUUAUCUACCCUCAAGACGGGGACAACCCAGGGAAACUUGGGCUAAUACCGGAUGUGAGCAACUUUUAGUUGUUUGAAAGGUGGCGUAAGCUGUCGCUUGGGGAUGAGCCUGCGUCCUAUUAGUUAGUUGGUGAGGUAACGGCUCACCUAGGCAAUGAUAGGUAGGCGGCCUUAACGGGUGGUCGCCCACACUGGGAUUGAGAUACGGCCCAGACUCCUACGGGAGGCAGCAGUCGAGAAUAGUCUACAAUGGUCGGAAGACUGAUAGUGCGACGCCGCGUGAACGAUGAAUCCCUUCGGGGUGUAAAGUUCUUUUAUAUGUGAGCAGUGCUUCUUAUAUUAACAGUAUGGGGAGAGGAGAUAUUAGCAUAUGAAUAAGCAACGGCUAACUCCGUGCCAGCAGCCGCGGUAAUCUCG
This 509-nucleotide ribosomal RNA is filed under the name uncultured bacterium. RNAcentral's name for it is "bacterial SSU rRNA". It matches the Rfam family "Bacterial small subunit ribosomal RNA", at positions 28 to 527 of the family's 1533-position model. The record is from RNAcentral.